This is a long non-coding RNA of Neofelis nebulosa (Clouded leopard), 666 nucleotides long. RefSeq lists it as uncharacterized. NCBI's taxonomy places the organism in Eukaryota, Metazoa, Chordata, Mammalia, Carnivora, Felidae. The record is from RefSeq and is a predicted model, not a curated record. The transcript is spliced from 3 exons.
ACGAGCAGAGAGAGGGAGAGAGAGAGGACCUUAAGCAGGCCCUGCACUGUGAGUGCAGAGCCCGAUGCGGGGCUCAAACUCACGAACUGUGAGAUCACGACCUGAGCCAAAACCAGGAGCUGGAUGCUUAACCUUGUGUGAUGGAGCCCCCAUUUCCCUCUGUAUCUGGAUAUUUUGUGGCCAUUCUUUGCUUACAGAUAGUAGUACUCGCUUCAGAAAGAGCAUCAAAAAAACCUGUGGCCAUAUUUAAUCCACCCCAAAUGGACACUGAGAAAAGCAACUGGAAUAUUCGAUAAGUGAAGACCGUUUAUUGUUCAACAUAGCAGUCCACACGCCGCCUCUGGACAGUGGUCCCUUCGUUAAGUAUGGACAGAGUGACUACUACGUUCUGGCACUAUCAUCCCUGGAGACGAUAAUGAGAAUUUAUAAAAGGGAAUAAAACAGAAACUCUGCAUGGCUCACGUGUUAGUGGGCCAUGAGAGGAUAUAAGGACAGGAAUUAAAAAUAUCAGUCGGGGUGCCUGGGUGGCUCAGUCAGUUGGGCGUCCGACUUCAGCUCAGGUCAUGUUCUUGCAGUUCGUGGGUUCGGGCCCCGCGUCGGGCUCUGUGCUGGCAGCUCGGAGCCUGGGGCCUGCUUCAGGUUCUGCGUCUCCCUCUCUCUCUGCCC